This 1934-nucleotide long non-coding RNA is filed under the name Homo sapiens (human). RNAcentral describes it as "HSALNT0284684". The record is from RNAcentral. Lineage: Eukaryota; Metazoa; Chordata; Mammalia; Primates; Hominidae.
GGGGCGGGGAGACUGAGGCAUGGCGGGAUGCAGGUCCCAAGCCCUUCCCCGCGGGGAGGCAGCUAAGGCCCGGCAAGAAAUCGAGCACAGCAGCUGCUAGCGCAGGUGCUAAGCCCCUCACUGCCCGGGGCUUGCGGGCCGGCCUGCUGCUCCGAGUGCUGGGCCAGCCGAGCCCACGCCCCCCCGGAACUGGCGCUGGCCCGCAAGCGCCGCGCGCAGCCCCAGUUUCCGCCCGCGCCUCUCCCUCCACGCCUCCUCGCAAGCUGAGGGAGUCGGCUCCGGCCUUGGCCAGCCCAGAAAGGGGCUCCCACAGUGCAACGGUGGGCUGAAGGGCCAGAGUGGGCGCCAAGGGCGAGGAGGCGCCGAGAGCGAGUGGGGGCUGCCAGCACGGUGUCACCUCUCACCAGUAGUUGUGAUUUUUGCUGUCACCCCCAUGGAUUAUGAAUUCACUUUGUCUGGGUAACAGUGGAAACCCUCGGAAGUUGUUUCCACUGUUUCAUCUAAAAGAAGUCGCCAAAACGAAGUUUUCUCAGUGCCAAAGCAUGGACUCAGGAAACUGGCGUUCAAGGAGGUGACUAAUCUAAGGUCAUCUAGCUAAGUGACAGAGACAGUAUUCAAACUAAGGUGCCUCUGACUCCAAAGACUAUUCAAACUUCCAGACUUUGCUAAGGACUUCCAACAACUGCAUUAUACUGAUAAAAGUUGCCUGUCAGAACCUGCACGUUGUGCACAUGUACCCUAAAACUUAAAGUAUAAUAUUAGUAAAAUAAAAAAAAAGAAUAAAGAGGAUGUUCCAUAACUCAGUCUGUGAGUCAGACAACUGAAGAAGCCUACCUUCUGCCACAUAGGAACAGUGGCAAUUAGAGAUUAGAUUACUUGCCUUUGGUCACAAAGGUAGCAAAUUCAGAUCUGGAAUUCUUUACUUGGGCAAUCUGACUUCAGAGAUCUUCUAAACCACUAUACUACACCUACUCCUGAAACUGAAAUGAGAGCAGUUUAAGAAUUUUACCUAAAGUCACCGUGCAAGGGGGAUGAGCUCCAGGGACUGUCAUUUUUCACAGGUCACCCUAAAGAAAUAGAACCAGAAGAUUGCAGAAUUGCGGCCUUCGAUUCUCCUCUCUAAGUAGACUGAGUACACUUGAAGACAACAAUAUGGGCAUUCAUUAGAUGGAAUUUGGAAGACAAAGCUGAGGUUAAAAAUUACAUUUCUUUUGACUAAACUUAGGCAGGACAUUUAGUCUAGCGUUCACCACAGGUCUCAUUGGUCCCUACUACCUGUACCAGACUUUCCACAGGCACACUAUAUGCGUGGCCAUUAAGGUUUUUAGUUUGCAUUCCCAGGAAUAAAUUGAUUUCUCACUUUGAUAACAUGCUGUGCUACUUCUGGCUUUUACAUUAAAACCCUUAGAGGAUGAUAAGUAUGGUUACAGAACACAUUGUCUGAGUUUCAGAUCUGGCUUAUUCACUUAAUAAAUGCUAUAGUUUGGAUAUUCAUCCACCCCCCGAUAUCUCGCAUUGAAAUUUAAUCCUCAUUGAUGGAAAUGAGGCCUAAUUGGAGCUGUUUGGGUCAUGUGGGUGGAUUCCUCAUGAAUGGCUUGACAUCGUCCUCAAAGUAAUGAGCGAGUUCUUGCUCUGUUAGUUCCCAUGAGAGCUGGUUGUUAAGAAGAGCCUGGCACCUCCACUCUCUUUCUCUUGCUUCCUAUCUCACCGUGUGAUCUCUGCACAGUUGACCCCACUUUGUCUUCUGCCAUGAGUAGAAGCAGCCUGAGUCCCUCAACAGAAGCCAAGCAGAUGCUGGCACCAUGCUUCUUGUACAGCCUACACAACAUGAGCCAAAUAAAGCUAUUUUCUUUAUAAAUUACCCAGCCUCAGGUAAUCCUUGAAAGCAAUACUAAAUGGACUAAAACAGUAACUAUGUGACUACUUUAUACCAG